RNAcentral lists this ribosomal RNA (545 nucleotides) under Escherichia coli. RNAcentral describes it as "partial 23S ribosomal RNA". It matches the Rfam family "Bacterial large subunit ribosomal RNA", at positions 230 to 816 of the family's 2925-position model. Lineage: Bacteria; Pseudomonadati; Pseudomonadota; Gammaproteobacteria; Enterobacterales; Enterobacteriaceae. The record is from RNAcentral.
CGAGAUUCCCCCAGUAGCGGCGAGCGAACGGGGAGGAGCCCAGAGCCUGAAUCAGUGUGUGUGUUAGUGGAAGCGUCUGGAAAGGCGCGCGAUACAGGGUGACAGCCCCGUACACAAAAAUGCACAUGCUGUGAGCUCGAUGAGUAGGGCGGGACACGUGGUAUCCUGUCUGAAUAUGGGGGGACCAUCCUCCAAGGCUAAAUACUCCUGACUGACCGAUAGUGAACCAGUACCGUGAGGGAAAGGCGAAAAGAACCCCGGCGAGGGGAGUGAAAAAGAACCUGAAACCGUGUACGUACAAGCAGUGGGAGCAUCUUUUAUGGUGUGACUGCGUACCUUUUGUAUAAUGGGUCAGCGACUUAUAUUCUGUAGCAAGGUUAACCGAAUAGGGGAGCCGAAGGGAAACCGAGUCUUAACCGGGCGUUAAGUUGCAGGGUAUAGACCCGAAACCCGGUGAUCUAGCCAUGGGCAGGUUGAAGGUUGGGUAACACUAACUGGAGGACCGAACCGACUAAUGUUGAAAAAUUAGCGGAUGACUUGUGGCU